AACGAACGCUGGCGGCGUGCCUAACACAUGCAAGUCGUGCGAGAAAGUUCCUUCGGGAGCGAGUAAAGCGGCGCACGGGUGAGUAACACGUAGGUAACCUGCCCCCCAGUCUGGAACAACUAGAGGAAACUCUAGCUAAUGCCGGAUGAGACCACGAUCCCUUCGGGGGUUGCGGCCAAAGAUGGCCUCUACUUGUAAGCUAUCGCUGAGGGAUGGGCCUGCGGGCCAUUAGCUUGUUGGUGAGGUAACGGCUCACCAAGGCUGUGAUGGCUAGCUGGUCUGAGAGGAUGACCAGCCACACUGGGACUGAGACACGGCCCAGACUCCUACGGGAGGCAGCAGUGGGAAUAUUGCGCAAUGGCGAAAGCCUGACGCAGCGACGCCGCGUGGGUGAUGAAGGCC
This 402-nucleotide ribosomal RNA is filed under the name uncultured bacterium. RNAcentral describes it as "bacterial SSU rRNA". It matches the Rfam family "Bacterial small subunit ribosomal RNA", at positions 29 to 416 of the family's 1533-position model. The record is from RNAcentral.